RNAcentral lists this ribosomal RNA (515 nucleotides) under uncultured bacterium. Its description in RNAcentral is "partial 16S ribosomal RNA". It matches the Rfam family "Bacterial small subunit ribosomal RNA", at positions 28 to 523 of the family's 1533-position model. The record is from RNAcentral.
GAUGAACGCUGGCGGCGUGCCUAAUACGUGCAAGUCGAGCGAAUGGAUUAAGAGCUUGCUCUUAUGAAGUUAGCGGCGGACGGGUGAGUAACACGUGGGUAACCUGCCCAUAAGACUGGGAUAACUCCGGGAAACCGGGGCUAAUACCGGAUAAUAUUUUGAACUGAAUGGUUCAAAAUUGAAAGGCGGCUUCGGCUGCCACUUAUGGAUGGACCCGCGUCGCAUUAGCUAGUUGGUGAGGUAACGGCUCACCAAGGCAACGAUGCGUAGCCGACCUGGGAGGGUGAUCGGCCACACUGGGACUGAGGCACGGCCCAGACUCCUACGGGAGGCAGCAGUAGGGAAUCUUCCGCAAUGGACGAAAGUCUGACGGAGCAACGCGGCGUGAGUGAUGAAGGCUUUCGGGUCGUAAAACUCUGUUGUUAGGGAAGAGCAAGUGCUAGUUGAAUAAGCUGGCACCUUGACGGUACCUAACCAGAAAGCCACGGCUAACUACGUGCCAGCAGCCGCCGUAA